Molecule: ribosomal RNA, 497 nt
Filed under: uncultured bacterium
Lineage: Bacteria
Description: partial 16S ribosomal RNA
Rfam family: Bacterial small subunit ribosomal RNA
Source: RNAcentral
GAUGGACGCUGGCGGCGUGCCUAAUACAUGCAAGUCGAGCGAACAGACGAGGAGCUUGCUCCUCUGACGUUAGCGGCGGACGGGUGAGUAACACGUGGAUAACCUACCUAUAAGACUGGGAUAACUUCGGGAAACCGGAGCUGAUACCGGAUAACAUGUUGAACCGCAUGGUUCAACAGUGAAAGACGGUCUUGCUGUCACUUAUAGAUGGAUCCGCGCCGCAUUAGCUAGUUGGUAAGGUAACGGCUUACCAAGGCAACGAUGCGUAGCCGACCUGAGAGGGUGAUCGGCCACACUGGAACUGAGACACGGUCCAGACUCCUACGGGAGGCAGCAGUAGGGAAUCUUCCGCAAUGGGCGAAAGCCUGACGGAGCAACGCCGCGUGAGUGAAGAAGGUCUUCGGAUCGUAAAACUCUGUUAUUAGGGAAGAACAAAUGUGUAAGUAACUAUGCACGUCUUGACGGUACCUAAUCAGAAAGCCACGGCUAACUACGUG